AGUCUUUGUUUAGUGGCCUACUCCUGAGAAGGGAGCACACGGGAUGGAGUGGAGUAACCUCUUCCAGGACCACAAAGCCGGGAGCCCAACCCACAAUUUAAACAUUGAGCUCUGAAGCUGCUUUGACUAGACGUGAAGUUGUCACACCCAGAGAAGCGCCCAUGGACCUAGGGAAAGACUUUUGUGAUCCAGACUUGAGGCUCAUUUACAUUUGACUUAUUCUCGUGGAAACUCAUAAAGCGUUCUAUAUUAGCCGCUGAGUUUUAACACCUUCUCUGGACACUCAUCAUAUAGUCUAUUUUUGGCCCAACUUCUUUUGAAAGGGCCCAUUCUUUACCUCAUUUAGAUAAAUCAGAUAGGUCUUUCUUGCUUACUUCAUUAACAACUCAAUUAAUUAUAACCACAUCACAUGAAGAUUAGAUGUAAUUAGGACCUGUCCAAUGUCUUUACAUCCCAGUCCUUCUGUACUCCUAACCUUAAGCAAAUUGGUCGACCUCUGUAGGUCUAAGUAUUCUGUGUGUAACAUGAAAGCUUUGAAUUAGGCCACGUUUCCGGCUAAUUUUUUAAAAAGUGUUUGUGAUCCUGUGAAUUCCAUAACCCACCACCUUCCUUUUCCAACUCUUCACCUUUUAAAUCCACUUUCCAUCUCUCCAGAGGAAAGGGCAUUGAGAGUAGAGGGAGCAAGUCCCUUUCACUAAAGCAGCCUGGUUUGAAAAAGCCGGUAAUCUCUGAACUGUCUCUUGCUUGAACAAGAAAAACUCCCUCUGAAAUACCUUUUUCUCCUUGUGAUAGCAACAGAAACCAAGCAGCAACAGCCCUUGGAAAGAGGCUAAAUUUUUCUUGACUUCUGCAGCAACAAAGACCGUGAAAAGUUGGCACUUCUGGCCUAACGCUGCCGUCAUCCUACCCCUCACCCCAGGGCAACCCAGGCUGGACAUUUAGUGCCUCCCUCUUUAUUCCUCUGUGAUCAUCCAGAUCAGCACUUGACUGUUUAUUUUCAAAUCUCACGAACCUCACCCCAAGAUCUUCACAUUCUGGAUCUCAGCUGCUCUUGAAGGACAGUGACUUGUUACCACCGCAACAGCAGAGCCUGCCAUCCCCAACAGAUCACCAGUUGUCCCUGACAUCGUGCCCUACCUUGUCUCCCUUUGUGGUCUCCUAAAUGCCCAUCUCGUUGGCCUUGGUUCGGCUAGUGGUAUGGAGGGGUGCUGCCUAGCACUGACCUGAGAGUGUGUGUGACCCACUGACCCAAUGGACAUCAAAGGCCAGUUCUGGAAUGAUGACGACUCGGAGGGAGAUAAUGAAUCAGAGGAAUUUCUCUAUGGCGUUCAGGGGAGCUGUGCAGCUGACCUGUAUCGACACCCACAGCUUGAUGCAGACAUUGAAGCCGUGAAGGAGAUCUACAGUGAGAACUCUGUAUCCAUCAGAGAAUAUGGAACUAUCGAUGACGUGGACAUUGACCUCCACAUCAACAUCAGCUUCCUCGAUGAGGAAGUCUCUACAGCCUGGAAGGUCCUCCGGACAGAACCUAUUGUGUUGAGGCUGCGAUUUUCUCUCUCCCAGUACCUAGAUGGACCAGAACCAUCCAUUGAGGUUUUCCAGCCAUCAAAUAAGGAAGGAUUUGGGCUGGGUCUUCAGUUGAAAAAGAUCCUGGGUAUGUUUACAUCCCAACAAUGGAAACAUCUGAGCAACGAUUUCUUGAAGACCCAGCAGGAGAAGAGGCACAGUUGGUUCAAGGCAAGUGGUACCAUCAAGAAGUUCCGAGCUGGCCUCAGCAUCUUUUCACCCAUCCCCAAGUCUCCCAGUUUCCCUAUUAUACAGGACUCCAUGCUGAAAGGCAAACUAGGUGUACCAGAGCUUCGGGUUGGGCGCCUCAUGAACCGUUCCAUCUCCUGUACCAUGAAGAACCCCAAAGUGGAAGUGUUUGGCUACCCUCCCAGCCCCCAGGCAGGUCUCCUGUGCCCUCAGCACGUGGGCCUCCCUCCCCCAGCACGGACCUCUCCUUUGGUCAGUGGUCACUGCAAGAACAUUCCCACUCUGGAGUAUGGAUUCCUCGUUCAGAUCAUGAAGUAUGCAGAACAGAGGAUUCCAACAUUGAAUGAGUACUGUGUGGUGUGUGAUGAGCAGCAUGUCUUCCAAAAUGGAUCUAUGCUGAAGCCAGCUGUCUGUACUCGUGAACUAUGCGUUUUCUCCUUCUACACACUGGGCGUCAUGUCUGGAGCUGCAGAGGAGGUGGCCACUGGAGCAGAGGUGGUGGAUCUGCUGGUGGCCAUGUGUAGGGCAGCUUUAGAGUCCCCUAGAAAGAGCAUCAUCUUUGAGCCUUAUCCCUCUGUGGUGGACCCCACUGAUCCCAAGACUCUGGCCUUUAACCCUAAGAAGAAGAAUUAUGAGCGGCUUCAGAAAGCUCUGGAUAGUGUGAUGUCUAUUCGGGAGAUGACCCAGGGCUCAUAUUUGGAAAUCAAGAAACAGAUGGACAAGUUGGAUCCCCUGGCCCAUCCUCUCCUGCAGUGGAUCAUCUCUAGCAACAGGUCACACAUUGUCAAACUACCUCUCAGCAGGCAGCUGAAGUUCAUGCACACCUCACACCAGUUCCUCCUGCUGAGCAGCCCUCCUGCCAAGGAGGCUCGGUUCCGGACCGCCAAGAAGCUCUAUGGCAGCACCUUUGCCUUCCAUGGGUCCCACAUUGAGAACUGGCAUUCGAUCCUGCGCAAUGGGCUGGUCAAUGCAUCCUACACCAAACUGCAGGAAUGGGAAAAGGACAGCACAGGAUGCCCUCCAAGGAUGAGCUGGUCCAGAGAUACAACAGGAUGAAUACCAUCCCCCAGACCCGAUCCAUUCAGUCAAGGUUCCUGCAGAGUCGGAAUCUAAACUGUAUAGCACUUUGUGAAGUGAUUACAUCUAAGGACCUCCAGAAGCAUGGGAACAUCUGGGUGUGCCCUGUGUCCGACCAUGUCUGCACAAGAUUCUUCUUUGUAUAUGAGGAUGGUCAGGUGGGCGAUGCCAACAUUAAUACUCAGGACCCCAAGAUACAGAAGGAAAUCAUGCGUGUGAUCGGAACUCAGGUUUACACAAACUGAGGGGGCCCCAGCCCUCGUACCACCCCUGUUACCCCAGGAUCCAUCUGCCCUCAUAAAAGUGUUCAGGUACAGCAGCUGAGGCUGCCCUGAGGAAUCAAGGGGCCAUUACCAAGGGGCAGGAAAAGGAUAUGUAAGAGGUGGCCUUCAUGGUAGAGCUUGACCCAAGAACUACUCCACAUUCGGAUGGCCCAGACUGACUCCAUCCCCUGACUUUCCCUUUGACUUCACCCUGUUUGUAAAUAAAACAAUAAAAUGGAAGGUGCUGUGGACUGGA
RNA transcript from Pan troglodytes (chimpanzee), 3351 nucleotides. It is a transcript of the gene named poly(ADP-ribose) polymerase family member 6, with no coding region annotated. The transcript is spliced from 22 exons. The record is from RefSeq and is a predicted model, not a curated record. NCBI's taxonomy places the organism in Eukaryota, Metazoa, Chordata, Mammalia, Primates, Hominidae.